This 29-nucleotide transfer RNA is filed under the name Vincetoxicum confusum. Its description in RNAcentral is "partial tRNA-Leu". The record is from RNAcentral. Lineage: Eukaryota; Viridiplantae; Streptophyta; Magnoliopsida; Gentianales; Apocynaceae.
AAAAUCCGUCGACUUAAAAAAUCGUGAGG